GGCUCAGGACGAACGCUGGCGGCAUGCCUAACACAUGCAAGUCGAACGGAGUAAUGACUUCGGUUAUACUUAGUGGCGAACGGGUGAGUAACACGUGAAUAAUCUGCCCUGUACGAUGGGAUAACAGCUGGAAACGGCUGCUAAUACCGUAUAUGACCACGCCGAGGCAUCUCGGAGGGGUGAAAGCGCUUAAGCGGUACAGGAUGAGUUCGCGUCCAAUUAGCUAGUUGGUGAGGUAACGGCCCACCAAGGCGACGAUUGGUAGCCGACCUGAGAGGGUGAUCGGCCACACUGGAACUGAGACACGGUCCAGACUCCUACGGGAGGCAGCAGUGGGGAAUAUUGGGCAAUGGAGGAAACUCUUACCCAAGCAAUGCCGCGUGAGUGAUGAAGGUCUUCGGAUUGUAAAGCUCUUUGAUUGGGGACGAAUAAAUGACGGUACCCAAGGAACAAGCCCCGGCUAACUAUGUGCCAGCCGCGGC
RNAcentral lists this ribosomal RNA (482 nucleotides) under uncultured bacterium. Its description in RNAcentral is "bacterial SSU rRNA". It matches the Rfam family "Bacterial small subunit ribosomal RNA", at positions 21 to 518 of the family's 1533-position model. The record is from RNAcentral.